GCGCCCUUAGCUCAGCUGGAUAGAGCACCGGCCUUCUAAGCCGGUGGCCGCUGGUUCGAAUCCAGCAGGGCGCGCCA
Molecule: transfer RNA, 77 nt
Filed under: Novosphingobium sp. Fuku2-ISO-50
Lineage: Bacteria; Pseudomonadati; Pseudomonadota; Alphaproteobacteria; Sphingomonadales; Sphingomonadaceae
Also listed under: 1 other name
Description: tRNA-Arg
Rfam family: tRNA
About the family: Transfer RNA (tRNA) molecules are approximately 80 nucleotides in length. Their secondary structure includes four short double-helical elements and three loops (D, anti-codon, and T loops).
Source: RNAcentral